RNAcentral lists this ribosomal RNA (157 nucleotides) under Fusarium sp. SS-2012a. RNAcentral's name for it is "5.8S ribosomal RNA". Lineage: Eukaryota; Fungi; Ascomycota; Sordariomycetes; Hypocreales; Nectriaceae. The record is from RNAcentral.
GAAUUCAAAAAUUCAAUGAAUCACCGAAUCCUGCAACGCACAUUACGCACCCCAGUAUGCUGCCGGCCACACCGAUGCCAGAACCAAGACAACCCUCAAGAAAAGCUUGAUGUAGGGACUCGCGGUAACCAGAAGUCCCCAAAUCGAUUGGCGGUCA